CGCGCGCUACACUGACGGAGCCAGCGAGUACUGGCGUAAGCCUUCCUUGGCCGAAAGGUCCGGGUAAUCUUGUUAAACUCCGUCGUGCUGGGGAUAGUCCUUUGCAAUUAUCGGACUUGAACGAGGAAUUCCUAGUAAGCGCGAUUCAUCAGAUCGCGUUGAUUACGUCCCUGCCCUUUGUACACACCGCCCGUCGCUACUACCGAUUGAAUGGCUUAGUGAGGCCUUCGGAUUGGCGUAUUACUGCCGGCAACGGCUAGUAGUAUGCCGAGAAGUUGGUCAAACUUGGUCAUUUAGAGGAAGUAAAAGUCGUAACAAGGUAUCCGUAGGUGAACCUGCGGAUGGAUCAUUAACGU
This 356-nucleotide ribosomal RNA is filed under the name Syncephalis californica. Its description in RNAcentral is "bacterial SSU rRNA". It matches the Rfam family "Eukaryotic small subunit ribosomal RNA", at positions 1492 to 1831 of the family's 1831-position model. Lineage: Eukaryota; Fungi; Zoopagomycota; Zoopagomycetes; Zoopagales; Piptocephalidaceae. The record is from RNAcentral.